Molecule: transfer RNA, 67 nt
Filed under: Marmota monax (woodchuck)
Lineage: Eukaryota; Metazoa; Chordata; Mammalia; Rodentia; Sciuridae
Description: tRNA.Ala
Source: RNAcentral
GGUUGUGGUUCAGUGAUAGAGCGCUUGUCUAGCAUGUGUGAGGCACUGGGUUCGAUCCCCAGCAUCA